Molecule: long non-coding RNA, 826 nt
Filed under: Androctonus crassicauda
Lineage: Eukaryota; Metazoa; Arthropoda; Arachnida; Scorpiones; Buthidae
Source: RNAcentral
UGUAAGACAGUAUUAACAACAGUUAAGUGCAAAGACAAGUAAAGACAAAGGAAAGCAACAAUUUAUCAAACAGUUUACAAUAGUUGCUCGAAAGAGUGAUCACCAACAGCGAUACAAGAUUCACAGCGGUGGCACAUAGAUUGGCGUACAUUAGUAAAAACUUCAGGCGUGUCACGAAGCGCAUGUUCACGCCAGCGAAGCGCUUUCAUCCGUCGAACUCAACAGCGCACUCUCGCGGUAUUUCCGCAUCCACAUCAAGGUUACUAUAUACUGUGCCAGGUUAUCUCGUUAGACAGCCGCGCUCGGAAGAACACGUGGGACGACGAGAAUUGUUCGACUUUUGAUUGAAUACGGGAUAUGUGUUUGUAGGCAUUUGCCGGUAUUUGGACUUUAUUUGGAAGUUAUUUCUUCAAAUAGUGCUGAAAUUAAAGUAAAAGUUGUUGAAGUGCAGCUUAUAUUUGUCAACCAGUCAGCAAUGUACAGGUAGUAUACAGGUAUCUAUAAUUUUCUCUCUCGCUUCCGUAGUUAGUGUGCUAUUUGGACUUGGGAAGACGGUAUUUAGAUCCCUGGUUCCGCACUCGUACACUGAACGUUGGAUCCCUGGGCACCGCUUACCCAGGUCCUGAUGGGGAAUGGUCUUCCCCAACUCCAGGGGUCGUUCGAAGAACGCCAGGUGAAUCGAGCAUUAUCCUCAUGGACUGAUGUUGAGAAGAUCGACUUUUGUCGGGCGGCCAAGUUCACUCCUCGGCCAUUUGCUGUAUUUCUGUCGGGACAGAAUUCGUCCCCGCUUCCAAAACUUAAACCUAGCGCGUUAUCUUCCACCCUC